AUUGAACGCUGGCGGCAGGCUUAAUACAUGCAAGUCGAGCGGGGUGAUGGUGCUUGCACUAUCACUUAGCGGCGGACGGGUGAGUAAUGCUUAGGAAUCUGCCUAUUAGUGGGGGACAACAUCUCGAAAGGGAUGCUAAUACCGCAUACGUCCUACGGGAGAAAGCAGGGGAUCACUUGUGACCUUGCGCUAAUAGAUGAGCCUAAGUCGGAUUAGCUAGUUGGUGGGGUAAGGGCCUACCAAGGCGACGAUCUGUAGCGGGUCUGAGAGGAUGAUCCGCCACACUGGGACUGAGACACGGCCCAGACUCCUACGGGAGGCAGCAGUGGGGAAUAUUGGACAAUGGGGGGAACCCUGAUCCAGCCAUGCCGCGUGUGUGAAGAAGGCCUUAUGGUUGUAAAGCACUUUAAGCGAGGAGGAGGCUCUUUUGGUUAAUACCCAAGAUGAGUGGACGUUACUCGCAGAAUAAGCACCGGCUAACUCUGUGCCAGCAGCCGCCGUAA
Molecule: ribosomal RNA, 503 nt
Filed under: uncultured bacterium
Lineage: Bacteria
Description: partial 16S ribosomal RNA
Rfam family: Bacterial small subunit ribosomal RNA
Source: RNAcentral